CCAACUGCUUCCACUUCCCUUCUCAAUCAUCUCUGACCUUCCUUCUGUCAUAUUUGGGUGCUUCUGCUUCUUGCACAGCAUGAAAUUCCUUCCUCCAGUCGAUCCAAUCGAAUCGGAUGGACCCAGAGCUUCAGAUCCUGCAUUGGCUGGAUAAAGGAGGAAGUUACUGACAUCAGAACCAAGAACAGGAAGCCUCCC
This is a long non-coding RNA of Rhododendron vialii, 198 nucleotides long. RefSeq lists it as uncharacterized. NCBI's taxonomy places the organism in Eukaryota, Viridiplantae, Streptophyta, Magnoliopsida, Ericales, Ericaceae. The transcript is spliced from 2 exons. The record is from RefSeq and is a predicted model, not a curated record.